UACGUAGGUGGCAAGCGUUGUCCGGAUUUACUGGGCGUAAAGAGCGCGCAGGCGGUCGUUCAAGUCGCGUGUGAAAGCCCCCGGCUCAACUGGGGAGGGUCACGCGAUACUGAUCGACUCGAAGGCAGGAGAGGGAAGCGGAAUUCCCGGUGUAGUGGUGAAAUGCGUAGAUAUCGGAAGGAACACCUGUGGCGAAAGCGGCUCACUGGACCAUUACUGACGCUGAGGCGCGAAAGCUAGGGGAGCAAACAGG
This 253-nucleotide ribosomal RNA is filed under the name uncultured prokaryote. Its description in RNAcentral is "partial 16S ribosomal RNA". It matches the Rfam family "Bacterial small subunit ribosomal RNA", at positions 524 to 776 of the family's 1533-position model. The record is from RNAcentral.